AUGUCUUCAUUAGUAUAUAAUAGUCCCCUUAUCUGUGGUUUUCUUUCUGUGGUUUCAGUUCUCCACGGAUGACUGGGUCAGAAGCAGAUGACCCUCCUUCUGACCUAUCAUCAGAAAGUCAGGGGGUGCCUGGCUGGCUCAGUCCAUGGAGCAUGCAACUCUGGAUCUCGGGGUUAUGAGGUCGAGCACCACAUCAGAGAUGACCUCUGUCUCCAGCUCCACAAGCCCUUUGAAGCAAAUGAUAAUACACCACUUUCCUUUGCAUGCUUGACUGCUCUCUCUAAAAGUGGGAAAAGUAGCAACUUCAGCUAGAAGGUAUGUGAGUAUAUAUGCAUGCGUUUGUAACUUUUAAGCUGGAAAGGCUGAAGAUUUCAAGCAAAAAAAUACAGCAUUUCAUUUGCAUUAUAUGGAUUAAAGUUUUCUGUUAUUUAUAAUACUGGAAAUGUCUAAUAAUUAUCAUCUUGGUUGCC
Molecule: long non-coding RNA, 470 nt
Filed under: Mustela putorius furo (domestic ferret)
Lineage: Eukaryota; Metazoa; Chordata; Mammalia; Carnivora; Mustelidae
Description: lncRNA (ENSMPUG00000030862.1)
Source: RNAcentral